AUUGAACGCUGGCGGCAGGCCUAACACAUGCAAGUCGAGCGAGUGGCGGACGGGUGAGUAAUGUCUGGGAAACUGCCUGAUGGAGGGGGAUAACUACUGGAAACGGUAGCUAAUACCGCAUACCAUCGGAUGUGCCCAUAUGGGAUUAGCUAGUAGGUGGGGUAAAGGCUCACCUAGGCGACGAUCCCUAGCUGGUCUGAGAGGAUGACCAGCCACACUGGAACUGAGACACGGUCCAGACUCCUACGGGAGGCAGCAGUGGGGAAUAUUGCACAAUGGGCGCAAGCCUGAUGCAGCCAUGCCGCGUGUAUGAAGAAGGCCUUAGGGUUGUAAAGUACUUUCAGUGGGGAGGCGUUACCGGCAGAAGAAGCACCGGCUAACUCCGUGCCAGCAGCCGCGGUAAUAC
This 406-nucleotide ribosomal RNA is filed under the name uncultured bacterium. Its description in RNAcentral is "partial 16S ribosomal RNA". It matches the Rfam family "Bacterial small subunit ribosomal RNA", at positions 30 to 526 of the family's 1533-position model. The record is from RNAcentral.